This 482-nucleotide ribosomal RNA is filed under the name uncultured bacterium. RNAcentral's name for it is "partial 16S ribosomal RNA". It matches the Rfam family "Bacterial small subunit ribosomal RNA", at positions 30 to 507 of the family's 1533-position model. The record is from RNAcentral.
AUUGAACGCUGGCGGCAUGCCUUACACAUGCAAGUCGAACGGUAACAGGUCUUCGGACGCUGACGAGUGGCGAACGGGUGAGUAAUGCAUCGGAACGUGCCCAGUCGUGGGGGAUAACUGCUCGAAAGAGCAGCUAAUACCGCAUACGACCUGAGGGUGAAAGCGGGGGACCGUAAGGCCUCGCGCGAUUGGAGCGGCCGAUGUCAGAUUAGCUAGUUGGUGGGGUAAAGGCCUACCAAGGCAACGAUCUGUAGUUGGUCUGAGAGGACGACCAGCCACACUGGGACUGAGACACGGCCCAGACUCCUACGGAAGGCAGCAGUGGGGAAUUUUGGACAAUGGGCGCAAGCCUGAUCCAGCAAUGCCGCGUGCAGGAAGAAGGCCUUCGGGUUGUAAACUGCUUUUGUCAGGGAAGAAAUCUUCUGGGCUAAUACCCCGGGAGGAUGACGGUACCUGAAGAAUAAGCACCGGCUAACUACGUG